GAUGAACGCUGGCGGCGUGCCUAAUACAUGCAAGUCGAGCGAACAGAUAAGGAGCUUGCUCCUUUGACGUUAGCGGCGGACGGGUGAGUAACACGUGGGUAACCUACCUAUAAGACUGGGAUAACUUCGGGAAACCGGAGCUAAUACCGGAUAAUAUUUCGAACCGCAUGGUUCGAUAGUGAAAGAUGGUUUUGCUAUCACUUAUAGAUGGACCCGCGCCGUAUUAGCUAGUUGGUAAGGUAACGGCUUACCAAGGCGACGAUACGUAGCCGACCUGAGAGGGUGAUCGGCCACACUGGAACUGAGACACGGUCCAGACUCCUACGGGAGGCAGCAGUAGGGAAUCUUCCGCAAUGGGCGAAAGCCUGACGGAGCAACGCCGCGUGAGUGAUGAAGGUCCUCGGAUCGUAAGACUCUGUUAUUAGGGAAGAACAUACGUGUAAGUAACUGUGCACGUCUUGACGGUACCUAAUCAGAAAGCCACGGCUAACUACGUG
Molecule: ribosomal RNA, 497 nt
Filed under: uncultured bacterium
Lineage: Bacteria
Description: partial 16S ribosomal RNA
Rfam family: Bacterial small subunit ribosomal RNA
Source: RNAcentral